Molecule: transfer RNA, 72 nt
Filed under: Bos taurus (domestic cattle)
Lineage: Eukaryota; Metazoa; Chordata; Mammalia; Artiodactyla; Bovidae
Also listed under: 5 other names
Rfam family: tRNA
About the family: Transfer RNA (tRNA) molecules are approximately 80 nucleotides in length. Their secondary structure includes four short double-helical elements and three loops (D, anti-codon, and T loops).
Source: Rfam by way of RNAcentral
UCCCUAGUGGCUAAGCUGGUAAAGAAUCCACCUGCAAUGUGGGAGACCUGGGUUCAAUUCCUGCGUUGGGAA